Molecule: ribosomal RNA, 237 nt
Filed under: uncultured bacterium
Lineage: Bacteria
Description: partial 16S ribosomal RNA
Rfam family: Bacterial small subunit ribosomal RNA
Source: RNAcentral
UACGUAGGUGGCAAGCGUGAUCCGGAAUUAUUGGGCGUAAAGCGCGCGCAGGCGGUUUCUUAAGUCUGAUGUGAAAGCCCACGGCUCAACCGUGGCGGGUCAUUGGAAACUGGGGAACUUGAGUGCAGAAGAGAAAAGCGGAAUUCCACGUGUAGCGGUGAAAUGCGUAGAGAUGUGGAGGAACACCAGUGGCGAAGGCGGCUUUUUGGUCUGUAACUGACGCUGAGGCGCGAAAGC